RNAcentral lists this ribosomal RNA (346 nucleotides) under uncultured Chloroflexota bacterium. RNAcentral's name for it is "bacterial SSU rRNA". It matches the Rfam family "Bacterial small subunit ribosomal RNA", at positions 923 to 1282 of the family's 1533-position model. Lineage: Bacteria; Bacillati; Chloroflexota. The record is from RNAcentral.
GCACAAGCAGCGGAGCGUGUGGUUUAAUUCGAGGCUACGCGAAGAACCUUACCAGGGUUUGACAUGGCGGUGGUAGGGAUCCGAAAGGUGACCGACCCUUCGGGGAGCCGUCACAGGUGCUGCAUGGCUGUCGUCAGCUCGUGUCGUGAGAUGUUAGGUUAAGUCCUGUAACGAGCGCAACCCUCGUCGCUAGUUACAUGUGUCUAGCGAGACUGCCGGUGAUAAGCCGGAGGAAGGUGAGGAUGACGUCAAGUCAGCAUGGCCUUUAUAUCCUGGGCUACACACACGCUACAAUGGCCAGCACAAUGGGCAGCGAAACCGCGAGGUGGAGCCAAUCCUCCAAAGC